Long non-coding RNA from Cyprinus carpio (common carp), 440 nucleotides. RefSeq lists it as uncharacterized. The record is from RefSeq and is a predicted model, not a curated record. The transcript is spliced from 3 exons. Lineage: Eukaryota; Metazoa; Chordata; Actinopteri; Cypriniformes; Cyprinidae.
CCCCCAAUCAUGUUUUUUUUUUUUUACAAUUAAAUAACUUAAACAAGUGAUAUAAAUGAAUGAAUGAAUGAAUACGAAUGAAUAAUUCGAGACGAGAAAAUUUCUGAUUUGCCGAAAACUGCUGCUGUGUCUGCUAGCGUUUGAGUCAUGCGCAAUUGCGCAUAGACACCUCGCGUGCAUUGACAAUUCGCGCUGGCACGCAAGUGCACUGUAAUAAAUGAUAAGCCAUGUCACAAAAAAGGAUUUAUCUGUCUGGUGCCGAAAAGAGAAAGAAGAAAAGGACAGAGGAUGAGAAAAAAGAGCAAGAUAAAGGAACACUGUUGAAGUACUUUGGAGCACAACCAACUCUACCCGCCCCUGAUGUUUCAAGUGUCAGUGCCUCCACAGCUGAUGAUACAGCAGGUUCAUCCACUGCAGAGUUACAAGCACCUGAAAGUGAG